GGAGACCACCAUCCAAUCCUCCACCAUGAUGGGUCCCUGGCUCCCCAGAGGCUCCUGUGUGGCAGCUGUGGUCCUGACCCUGAUGGCCCUGAGCCCUCGGUGGCUUUGGUCAGGGACCCCAGAUGUCUGUGUGAGAGGCCCCGGAUAUCAGCCAUUUUCUUCCAGUAACAUCUCCAGCCUUGUGUCACAUUCCCUCAGGGCCUAGAGAAGACUGAUGAAUCAUGAUGUUAAAUUAGCCGCUUGCACAGGGCUUGUGGUCUUCAUUGUGUUGAGCUAUAUCAGAUAAAGAGGUUUCUCUUUAAAAACAUAA
Non-coding RNA from Cricetulus griseus (Chinese hamster), 310 nucleotides. The record is from RefSeq and is a predicted model, not a curated record. NCBI's taxonomy places the organism in Eukaryota, Metazoa, Chordata, Mammalia, Rodentia, Cricetidae.